UUGACAGCCCUGGAGAGUGCAGGCCUCCGUUUAUCCCCAAAACCGGCCCAGCACAGGCAGCUGCAAGAUGAACUUCCCCCACACUGCCCGGCUGCCACGGUGCCUCAGCCCUGAGCUUGGAGGAUCACUUUCAGGGAGGCUUUCUUUCUUUUGUGCCCUCUCUGCUGAGACUGCC
Chrysemys picta bellii (western painted turtle) is the source of this 175-nucleotide unclassified non-coding RNA. The record is from Ensembl. Lineage: Eukaryota; Metazoa; Chordata; Testudines; Emydidae.